Molecule: long non-coding RNA, 763 nt
Filed under: Salmo salar (Atlantic salmon)
Lineage: Eukaryota; Metazoa; Chordata; Actinopteri; Salmoniformes; Salmonidae
Description: lncRNA (ENSSSAG00000104065.1)
Source: RNAcentral
AGUCACCAGAAUGUCCUGACAGGUCAGCAGAAUGUCCUGACAAGUCACCAGAAUGUCCUGACAAGUCACCAGAAUGUCCUGACAUGUCCUGACAAGUCACCAGAAUGUCCUGACAGGUCAGCAGAAUUCAUCAGAAUGUCCUAACAAGUCAGCAGAAUGUCCUGAAAAGUCAGCAGAAUGUCCUGACAAGUCACCAGAAUGUCCUGUCAAGUCAUAAGAAUGUCCUGACAAGUCAUCAGAAUGUCCUGACAAGUCAUAAGAAUGUCCUGACAGGUCAGCAGAAUGUCCUGACAAGUCAGCAGAAUGUCUUGACAAUUCAGCAGAAUGUCCUGACAAUUCAGCAGAAUGUCCUGACAUGUCAGCAGAAUGUCCUGACAACAUUGGAACAAGAACAUUUUUUUUAAGUCAGGACUGAAUGUGUUAAAAUUCUAGUUUAGGCUUAAAGGUUAGGUUUGGGGUUAAGGUUAGAGUUAGGUUUAGGGUUAGGUUUAAGAUUAUGGGUUUGGGGUUAAGGUCAAGGUUAAGAGUUAGGGUUAGGGUUAGGUUAAGAGUUAAGGUUCAAGGUUAGGGGUUGAGGAAAAUUGGAUUUUAAGUGGGGAUACAUUUGUACUCCCCAAAAAGACCUGAAAGUUCAUGACAACAAAGCUGUGUGUGCUCCUUCCAUCUGAGUAGGGAGUGGGUUAGGGUGAAUAGGGAGUGGGUUAGGGUGAGUAGGGAGUGGGUUAGGGUGAGUAGGGAGUGGGUUAGGGUGAGUAGGGAGUGG